GGCGCCUUCGUCUAACGGUUCAGGACACUAGGUUCUCAUCCUAGCAAUAGGAGUUCGAUUCUCCUAGGCGUCA
Molecule: transfer RNA, 73 nt
Filed under: Candidatus Woesebacteria bacterium RIFCSPHIGHO2_01_FULL_39_95
Lineage: Bacteria; Candidatus Woeseibacteriota
Also listed under: 4 other names
Description: tRNA-Glu
Rfam family: tRNA
About the family: Transfer RNA (tRNA) molecules are approximately 80 nucleotides in length. Their secondary structure includes four short double-helical elements and three loops (D, anti-codon, and T loops). Further hydrogen bonds mediate the characteristic L-shaped molecular structure. tRNAs have two regions of fundamental functional importance: the anti-codon, which is responsible for specific mRNA codon recognition, and the 3' end, to which the tRNAs corresponding amino acid is attached (by aminoacyl-tRNA synthetases). tRNAs cope with the degeneracy of the genetic code in two manners: having more than one tRNA (with a specific anti-codon) for a particular amino acid; and 'wobble' base-pairing, i.e. permitting non-standard base-pairing at the 3rd anti-codon position.
Source: RNAcentral